UUUUCAUGAAUCUAUUAUAUGAUCAAGUUGCUGUUAGAAAACCUCAGAAAAAAUCUAACCCGAGUGUUGAAUAAAUGAGAUCAAAAGCGAAAUCAUCAUCAAUUCCAUCUCUAGCUGCAAACAUGGUGCUUUGUUUUGCCAUCAUGAAUAUGCAGGGGACAGCAGAAAGAGCUCGACGUACAGGCAGUAACUAACUUACCAUUUGGAGCAACGAACAACUUCACUCUUUAGCAGCAUACAACUGAUGUUGUGCCGUAAUUGGCAAAACCUUUCUCAUCAUCUCUUUUGUUCCUUUUCAUUCAUUGCACAAUUCCUGCUCAAACCAGUAACAAAUCAUAGUACUGUAUAUUUCCUUCUGUGCUUCUUUUUUAUCCUUUACUGUAUAACUAAACCCAACAUAUCAACUAAAAACUUACAAUUGGUAACCUCUGUUUUUCCUUUUGCCUAAAACAACUUGAUUUGCUGUUAAAGUAAAAGGUCCGCCUCCUCCAAUCCAAAAUCUACAUAAUACAAAACUGAAACCUGUUACUGGUGGAAUCCAUCCUUCCCAGCACCAUCUUGAUUUUAUGGAAACCCUGUUGCUAUCAUAUGGCCCUUUUUUCCUUUAGCAAUAGAGCUAUAACAAAGAAGCUUUUAUAUUCUUCAAAAUGUAGUAAUAAUUCUUCUUUCCUUUACAAAUUGUAGAGGCCACAACCAGCAGACUUACAUCUUCACCUGACUGUGUGAGUAAUAGCUUGUUCACCUCCCGGAUGCAGUCCCAACAUUCGCUUGCCUCCUCUGGUCAAUGCCAAGGUGCUCAUUCGCUCCUGAGUUCGGUUACAC
Molecule: long non-coding RNA, 822 nt
Filed under: Linum usitatissimum (flax)
Lineage: Eukaryota; Viridiplantae; Streptophyta; Magnoliopsida; Malpighiales; Linaceae
Description: long non-coding RNA (LUSI_LNC002322)
Source: RNAcentral